This 1504-nucleotide ribosomal RNA is filed under the name Belontia hasselti. RNAcentral's name for it is "partial 16S ribosomal RNA". It matches the Rfam family "Bacterial large subunit ribosomal RNA", at positions 216 to 2597 of the family's 2925-position model. Lineage: Eukaryota; Metazoa; Chordata; Actinopteri; Anabantiformes; Osphronemidae. The record is from RNAcentral.
CACCCAACAGCUAGCCCCACAUCCAAAAACAACAAAUCAUUAUUAAUAACCCCAAAUACACAUAUACUCACAAAACAAACCAUUUUUCCUCCCAAGUAUGGGCGACAGAAAAGGAGUCAAGGAGCAAUAGAAAAAGUACCGCAAGGGAACGCUGAAAGAGAAAUGAAAUAAACCAGUAAAGUUCUAAGAAAGCAGAGAUUAACACUCGUACCUUUUGCAUCAUGUUUUAGCCAGUAACUUCCAAGCAAAGAGCACUUUAGUUUGCAUUCCCGAAACUAAGUGAGCUACUCCAAGACAGCCUGUUAACAGGGCUAACCCGUCUCUGUGGCAAAAGAGUGGGAAGAGCUUCGAGUAGAGGUGACAGACCUAUCGAACUUAGUUAUAGCUGGUUGCCUGGGAACUGAAUAGAAGUUUAGCCUCCUGGCUUCUUUCCUCACUUUUGCUUCAGCUUCUUCUGACACAAAGAAACCAAGAGAGUUAAUUAAAGGGGGUACAGCCCCUUUAAAUAAAGACACAACUUUUUCAUGACGGGUAAAGAUCAUAAUAGCUUAAGGCAUAAUGGUUAAGUGGGCCUAAAAGCAGCCAUCUAGUAGAAAGCGUUAAAGCUCAGAUAUUCACUUCAUCCUUCAAUUCCGAUAAACUUAUCUUAAACCCCUGAAAUCACUAGGCCAUCUCAUGCACACAUGAGAACGAUCCUGCUAAUAUGAGUAAUAAGAGAGUACGUCUCUCUCCUCGCACAAGUGUAAAUCGGAACAGACCUUCCACCGAACAUUACCGGCCUCAAAUAAAGAGAGCAUUGAGUAACAAACAAAAUAACUAGAAAAUCACUCAACAACUAACCGUUAACCCCACACUGGUGUGCCCCUAAGGAAAGACUAAAAGAAAAAGAAGGAACUCGGCAAACACAAGCCUCGCCUGUUUACCAAAAACAUCGCCUCUUGCAAAAAUAAAGAAUAAGAGGUCCCGCCUGCCCUGUGACAAGUUGUUUAACGGCCGCGGUAUUUUGACCGUGCAAAGGUAGCGCAAUCACUUGUCUUUUAAAUGAAGACCUGUAUGAAUGGCACAACGAGGGCUUAACUGUCUCCUUUUUCAAGUCAAUGAAAUUGAUCUUCCCGUGCAGAAGCGGGAAUACUUCCAUAAGACGAGAAGACCCUAUGGAGCUUUAGACACCAAGCAGAUCUUGUUAAAUGUGCCCAAACACGGACUUAAACCAAAAGAACCCUGCCCUAAUGUCUUUGGUUGGGGCGACCGCGGGGAAACAAACAACCCCCAUGUGGACUGAGAAAACCCCUCUUACAAGCACGAGUCACAACUCUCACUAACAGAACUUCUGACCCUAAGAUCCGGCAAUGCCGAUCAACGGACCGAGUUACCCUAGGGAUAACAGCGCAAUCCUCUUUUAGAGCCCCUAUCGACAAGAGGGUUUACGACCUCGAUGUUGGAUCAGGACAUCCUAAUGGUGCAACCGCUUUUAAGGGUUCGUUUGUUCAACGAUUAAAGUCCU